GCUCAAAUUUGAAAUCGGCCACCAGGUCGAGUUGUAAUUUGUAGAUUGUAUCUUGAGAGCGGAUUAAAGUCUGUUGGAACACAGCGCCUUAGAGGGUGACAGCCCCGUAAAAUCUAUUCUCAUUGUAAGAUACUUUCGAAGAGUCGAGUUGUUUGGGAAUGCAGCUCUAAGUGGGAGGUAAAUUCCUUCUAAAGCUAAAUAUUGACGAGAGACCGAUAGCGAACAAGUACUGUGAAGGAAAGAUGAAAAGCACUUUGAAAAGAGAGUGAAAAAGUACGUGAAAUUGUUAAAAGGGAAGGGUAUUGAAUCAGACUUGGUGCUGUUGUUCAACUGUGUUUCGGCAUAGUGUACUCAGCAGUACUAGGCCAAGGUGGGGUGUUUGGGAGUGAAAAAGAAGUUGGAAGGUAACUCUUCGGAGUGUUAUAGCCUACUUUCAUAGCUCCUCAGGCGCCUCAGGACUGCGCUUCGGCAAGGACCUUGGCAUAAUGAUUCUAUACCGCCCG
RNAcentral lists this ribosomal RNA (503 nucleotides) under Geotrichum candidum. RNAcentral describes it as "partial large subunit ribosomal RNA". It matches the Rfam family "Eukaryotic large subunit ribosomal RNA", at positions 107 to 651 of the family's 3401-position model. The record is from RNAcentral. Lineage: Eukaryota; Fungi; Ascomycota; Dipodascomycetes; Dipodascales; Dipodascaceae.